AGUGAACGCUGGCGGUAGGCCUAACACAUGCAAGUCGAACGGCAGCACCGUAAGAGCUUGCUCUUACGGGUGGCGAGUGGCGGACGGGUGAGGAAUACAUCGGAAUCUACUUUUUCGUGGGGGAUAACGUAGGGAAACUUACGCUCAUACCGCAUACGACCUACGGGUGAAAGCAGGGGAUCUUCGGACCUUGCGCGAUUGAAUGAGCCGAUGUCGGAUUAGCUAGUUGGCGGGGUAAUGGCCCACCAAGGCGACGAUCCGUAGCUGGUCUGAGAGGAUGAUAAGCCGCGCUGGAACGGAGACGCGGACCAGACGCCUGCGGGAGGCAGCAGUGGGGAAUAUGAGACAAUGGGCGCAAGCCUGAUCCAGCCAUACCGCGUGGGUGAAGAAGACCUUCGGGUUGUAAAGCCCUUUUGUUGGGAAAGAAAAGCAGCAGGUUAAGACCCCGCUGUUCUGACGGUACCCAAAGAAUAAGCACCGGCUAACUUCGUG
Molecule: ribosomal RNA, 492 nt
Filed under: uncultured bacterium
Lineage: Bacteria
Description: partial 16S ribosomal RNA
Rfam family: Bacterial small subunit ribosomal RNA
Source: RNAcentral